This 506-nucleotide ribosomal RNA is filed under the name uncultured bacterium. RNAcentral's name for it is "partial 16S ribosomal RNA". It matches the Rfam family "Bacterial small subunit ribosomal RNA", at positions 30 to 523 of the family's 1533-position model. The record is from RNAcentral.
AUUGAACGCUGGCGGCAGGCCUAACACAUGCAAGUCGAGCGGCAGCGGGAAGUAGCUUGCUACUUUGCCGGCGAGCGGCGGACGGGUGAGUAAUGUCUGGGAAACUGCCUGAUGGAGGGGGAUAACUACUGGAAACGGUAGCUAAUACCGCAUAAUGUCGCAAGACCAAAGAGGGGGACCUUCGGGCCUCUUGCCAUCAGAUGUGCCCAGAUGGGAUUAGCUAGUAGGUGGGGUAACGGCUCACCUAGGCGACGAUCCCUAGCUGGUCUGAGAGGAUGACCAGCCACACUGGAACUGAGACACGGUCCAGACUCCUACGGGAGGCAGCAGUGGGGAAUAUUGCACAAUGGGCGCAAGCCUGAUGCAGCCAUGCCGCGUGUAUGAAGGAGGCCUUCGGGUUGUAAAGUACUUUCAGCGGGGAGGAAGGUGUUGAGGUUAAUAACCUCAGCAAUUGACGUUACCCGCAGAAGAAGCACCGGCUAACUCCGUGCCAGCCGCCGCCGUAA